GUAAAUGUAGCCUUUAUUUUCAUUGUGCCCUAAGACCUUCCAGUUAUUACAAAUACAAUGAAAAUUCUUGUUUAAACCUUAUUUAUUAUAGACUCAAAAUAUAAAUAUAUGAAAUUUAUAUAUUUAAUAGAUAGAUCCUACCAUAUAUCUUAUAUUUUGGCUCAUGAUAAACCGAGUAUAAAUACAAAAAAUCCAACAAUACCACCAGACUUGAGGUAUGUUACAUUGACCAUAUGGUGACAUUCUUUUUUUUUUUUUAUUGGAUUUUGUCCGGGGGCUGAACUUGCAAUUUUACUGAAAAUCAUGAACUAGCAUCACCUAAUCUAUGCAUAAGAUGAGAUAUAUUUCUUAGCCAUUAGCCAGAGAUGCUCCCUCUUGUGCACGGUGAUGCCUGGCAGCACGUUAUCAGUGUCAAUGUCUUCCCUUUUCAUCCCAGCUGGCAUUUCCCAAUCAAAUUUGUAGAGAAGAUUAGCAAGUGAAAGCUCCACAUUAGCAAUUCCCAUAAAUAUUCCAGGACAAAUUCUUCUACCAGCGCCAAAUGGUAUUAACUCGUAAUCCUGUCCCUUCAUGUCAAUAGGAUUAUCCAAAAAUCUCUCUGGAUAGAACUCCGAUGGGUUUUCCCAAGCUUCAGGAUCCCUCCCAACUGCCCAUGCGUUCACAUAAACUAGGGUUUUUUCAGGUAUAUUAUAACCACCUAAAGUGCACUUGUGAACUGUUUCUCUAGGGACUAGUAAUGGAACUGUUGGUUGCAGUCUCAUCGUCUCUUUCACCACAGCCUUAAGGUAAGGCAAUUGGUGAAUAUCGUCUUCAUCAACAAAACCCUUUUUUCCAAUUAAGCUUCUAAUUUCUUCUUGAACUUUUUUCAUAGUUUUAGGAUUUUUCAUUAGAAAGCUCAUGGCCCAAAUCACUGCUGCAGCACUUGUGUCUGUUCCAGCAACAAAUACGUUCUACAUGGAAAUAAAAAUAAAAUAUAAAUGAUUAAUAAUAAUAAUAAUAAAAAUAUUGAGAUUAGCUUGCAUUACCAUGAGAAUUGCUUUGAUGUGUUCAAAGGUUAGUUGAACUUUAAAAGAACGAUCCUUCCAAAGUUGAAGUAAAACAUCAAGAAUGUUCUCAUACUGGGGCUUUUCCCUCUUUGGAUCGAGGUGUUCAUCGAUGACCUCUUGGUAGAAAACAUCAAAUUCAUGGAAAUUCUUUUCGAGUCGGGAGAGCAACCCAGAGAGUUUAUCAACAAUCCAGCCGAUGUAAGGAAAAUAGUCUGAAAAGAAGAAGCCCACAAACAUGGCCUGAGUUUCGUUAAGCAACUCAUGAAACCUCUUAGCUUCAUUUCCCCCUUCCUCGAAUCUCUUCCCAAAGGCAACUCUGCAUAUUGCAGCACUUGUAAGAGCCAUCAUGGCUUCAGUCAAGUUGACAGGUUUAGAAUCAUCAGCUAAUUUCGAUAUAUUUUCAAGCAUACGGGAAACUUCAUCUUCUCUAAUGGGACGAAAGUCUUGGACUCGGUUUGAGUUGAAGAGAUAGACGACACAAAUUUUUCUCAUCUCCCUCCAAUAAGCAUCAUAGGGUGCAAAAGCCAAAUCUAAACCAUUGUAGGACAAUCUUUGUAAACCAAGCAAGGGAGGCCUAUUACAAAAUUCAAGAUCUUGGGUUUUCAAUACCUCUUUUGCCAUUUUGGCAGAAGAGACUAUUAGAGUUUGCUUCAAACCUAGCCUUAAGGACAUGAGUGGGCCAUAUUGAUUGGAUAGUUGCCAUAAAUACUUCUGAACGUUGGAGUUGUCAAGCUGGAAUAGGUUUCCUACUAAGGGAAGACCCUUGGGACCAGGAGGGAGACGAAGGUUUCUUCUGGGUGUUUUGAGAAGAAAAAAGAGGAAGAUAGGGAGAAGAAGAAGGAAGAUGAGCAACCCCA
RNAcentral lists this unclassified non-coding RNA (1900 nucleotides) under Hevea brasiliensis (rubber tree). Lineage: Eukaryota; Viridiplantae; Streptophyta; Magnoliopsida; Malpighiales; Euphorbiaceae. The record is from RNAcentral.